AAAUGAAGUUGCUGGCCGAAUGUUGCUGGCGAAAUGUAUGGAAUUUGACAGCUUGAAAAGUUGCCAGCCACUUUGUUGCUGUCAAAUUCCAUACAUUUCGCCAGCAACAUUUGGCCAGCAACU
Molecule: microRNA precursor, 123 nt
Filed under: Anopheles maculatus
Lineage: Eukaryota; Metazoa; Arthropoda; Insecta; Diptera; Culicidae
Description: microRNA mir-598
Source: RNAcentral